AGAGUUUGAUCAUGGCUCAGGACUAACGCUGGCGGCGUGCCUAACACAUGCAAGUCGAACGGUUGAGAAGUGAAAGAUGAUUUAUCAUCUUUCCACUUCUCAAUAGUGGCGAACGGGUGAGUAACACGUGGGUAAUCUGCCCUUUAGCGGGGAAUAACAGAGGGAAACUUCUGCUAAUACCCCAUAUCUUCUUUAAAAGGCAUCUUUUAAAGAAGAAAGACGGCCUCUUUUUAAUGCUGUCGCUGGAGGAUGAGCCCGCGUUCCAUUAGCCAGUAGGUAGGGUAACGGCCUACCUAAGCGAUGAUGGAUAGCCGGCCUGAGAGGGUGGUCGGCCACACUGGGACUGAGAUACGGCCCAGACUCCUACGGGAGGCAGCAGUGGGGAAUUUUGCGCAAUGGGGGAAACCCUGACGCAGCAACGCCGCGUGAGCGAUGAAGGCCUUCGGGUCGUAAAGCUCUGUCUUGGGGGAAGAAACCUUAAAGGCUAAUACCCUUUAAGCUGACGGUACCCUAAAAGGAAGCCCCGGCUAACUACGUGCCAGCAGCCGCGGUAAUACGUAGGGGGCAAGCGUUGUCCGGAAUUAUUGGGCGUAAAGGGCGUGUAGGCGGCUGGUUAAGUCAGUGGUGUAAGGCUUCGGCUCAACCGGAGAAUUGCCAUUGAAACUGGCCGGCUUGAGGGCAGCAGAGGUAAGCGGAAUUCCUGGUGUAGCGGUGAAAUGCGUAGAUAUCAGGAGGAACACCAGUGGCGAAGGCGGCUUACUGGGCUGGCCCUGACGCUGAGGCGCGAAAGCGUGGGGAGCAAACAGGAUUAGAUACCCUGGUAGUCCACGCCGUAAACGAUGGGUACUAGGUGUUGGGGGUUUAGAUACCCUCAGUGCCGGAACUAACGCGCUAAGUACCCCGCCUGGGGAGUACGGUCGCAAGGCUGAAACUCAAAUGAAUUGACGG
RNAcentral lists this ribosomal RNA (948 nucleotides) under Clostridia bacterium enrichment culture clone L35B_30. Its description in RNAcentral is "bacterial SSU rRNA". It matches the Rfam family "Bacterial small subunit ribosomal RNA", at positions 8 to 916 of the family's 1533-position model. The record is from RNAcentral. Lineage: Bacteria; Bacillati; Bacillota; Clostridia.